GAAGGAGGUAGGCGGCGGCGGUGUGCAACGGAGAGGAACAGGGGCAGAGACGGCGGUGCGGAGAGCAGAGGAGCAGGGACAGGAGGCUGAAGUGGAGGGGUGGAGGUUGGCUACUGUCACCGGGCUCUAGGUACCACUGUCACCAACGUCGCCGGGGUACCUUUGCCACCGGUUGGGAUCGGUGAUGCCACGCGGAGAUGACGAGUGUUGGUUACUAGUCCCGGUACCUAGACUGGUCCCCGGAGGGAGGAGGUAGAGGACCCGGUGCGUCGCCGGAGCGUUAGGUCUCUAAACCUCGUCGUUCGUAACCUGCUCGUCUCCUGCUGCUGGCACUGGACGUCCUCCGGGCUCGAGCUGGUGCGGCCGCUGCCACUAAGGGGUGUGUUCUAGUUGUCCUCGAGAGGCGGAGAGGUCAAUCAAGGUACCUGUCGCUGUUGGCUCUGGGGUACGAGCUCGGACUGUUCGACCCGCUCGAGCUGCUCCAGCAGGCGGGGCAGGAGGUAGGUGGUACUAAAGGGUGUCUAGUUCCAUUAUAACCCUUCGAUCGAUGAAGUACGACGUGUACUUUUACGGUACUGUACUACCAACGGUAGUCCUCCCGGGUUAUCCUUCUUAGAUUUAUAGUUGGAACUAUCAUACAUACAAGACAACUACAUUGUACUUAAAAUGAUUAAGGGUUUGCACUACACACUAUAUAAAAAAGUUAGAUAUAAAAUUCAAAUAGUAAAACAUUUCUUAAAACAUUUGAUGAUGUAACCUUUAUGUAUGUCUACACGUAUAACCAG
This 785-nucleotide ribosomal RNA is filed under the name Triticum aestivum (bread wheat). Its description in RNAcentral is "partial small subunit ribosomal RNA". Lineage: Eukaryota; Viridiplantae; Streptophyta; Magnoliopsida; Poales; Poaceae. The record is from RNAcentral.